This 493-nucleotide ribosomal RNA is filed under the name uncultured bacterium. Its description in RNAcentral is "partial 16S ribosomal RNA". It matches the Rfam family "Bacterial small subunit ribosomal RNA", at positions 30 to 523 of the family's 1533-position model. The record is from RNAcentral.
AUUGAACGCUGGCGGCAUGCUUUACACAUGCAAGUCGAACGGUAACAGGUUAAGCUGACGAGUGGCGAACGGGUGAGUAAUGCAUCGGAACGUGCCCGAUCGUGGGGGAUAACACUUCGAAAGAAGUGCUAAUACCGCAUACGAUCUGAGGAUGAAAGCGGGGGACCGUAAGGCCUCGCGCGAUCGGAGUGGCCGAUGUCAGAUUAGGUAGUUGGUGGGGUAAAGGCUCACCAAGCCGACGAUCUGUAGCUGGUCUGAGAGGCCCAACAGCCACGCUGGGACUGAGGCACAGCCCAGACUCCGACAGGAGGCAGCCGUGGGGAAUUUUGGACAAUGGGCGCAAGCCUUAGGUAGCAAUGCCGCGUGCAGGAAGAAGGCCUUCGGGUUGUAAACUGCUUUUGUACGGAGCGAAAAGGCUCCCUCUAAUACAGGGGGCUCAUGACGGUACCGUAAGAAUAAGCACCGGCUAACUACGUGCCAGCCGCCGCAGUAA